This 486-nucleotide ribosomal RNA is filed under the name uncultured bacterium. RNAcentral describes it as "partial 16S ribosomal RNA". It matches the Rfam family "Bacterial small subunit ribosomal RNA", at positions 30 to 507 of the family's 1533-position model. The record is from RNAcentral.
AUUGAACGCUGGCGGCAUGCCUUACACAUGCAAGUCGAACGGCAGCACGGGUGCUUGCACCUGGUGGCGAGUGGCGAACGGGUGAGUAAUACAUCGGAACAUGUCCUGUAGUGGGGGAUAGCCCGGCGAAAGCCGGAUUAAUACCGCAUACGAUCUACGGAUGAAAGCGGGGGAGCUUCGGGCCUCGCGCUAUAGGGUUGGCCGAUGGCUGAUUAGCUAGUUGGUGGGGUAAAGGCCUACCAAGGCGACGAUCAGUAGCUGGUCUGAGAGGACGACCAGCCACACUGGGACUGAGACACGGCCCAGACUCCUACGGGAGGCAGCAGUGGGGAAUUUUGGACAAUGGGCGAAAGCCUGAUCCAGCAAUGCCGCGUGUGUGAAGAAGGCCUUCGGGUUGUAAAGCACUUUUGUCCGGAAAGAAAUCCUUGGCCCUAAUACGGUCGGGGGAUGACGGUACCGGAAGAAUAAGCACCGGCUAACUACGUG